Long non-coding RNA from Cynocephalus volans (Philippine flying lemur), 504 nucleotides. RefSeq lists it as uncharacterized. The transcript has 3 exons. NCBI's taxonomy places the organism in Eukaryota, Metazoa, Chordata, Mammalia, Dermoptera, Cynocephalidae. The record is from RefSeq and is a predicted model, not a curated record.
CUCGGUACCUCGGGCUGGUGUUCUCAGAAACGGUGGAGUUGGCUUCGCCUCCUGUGCUGGGCCGAGGCGCCAGUGAGACUUCAGCCAUUGCCCCCCACACAAAGUCGUUUUUAGAGUCGCGAUUGACGCAGAGGGAGGAGAGGGGAGGUGGCUGCCUGAAAAACUGGUUGCACGUGAACCCAGCCCUGUCGCCGGGGGCAGAGGUGAUUUUGGAAAUAGCCCGCGAGUGGCUUAAGGACGUCCGCUGUGCCCUUAAUUCACAGUAAAUUUGAUUCAGCUGCUUUCUUGAGGCCACGCGACAGAUAAUCCACAGCUGAAGAUUUUGCUGCACUACCUUGAACACAGGGACCGAACUCAGGACCUUGGUAUUAUCAGCACCCGGCUCUAACCAACUGAGCUAACUGGCCAGCCCUAACUCCUAUUUUUAAUUUCUUCGUUGGACAACAUAACUUAUUGUUCCUUCUCAGCAAUCCCAUACUGCUUUUAAGAUAAUUAAGGGAAGAA